This 969-nucleotide long non-coding RNA is filed under the name Homo sapiens (human). RNAcentral's name for it is "HSALNT0334263". Lineage: Eukaryota; Metazoa; Chordata; Mammalia; Primates; Hominidae. The record is from RNAcentral.
AUCCUCCCGCCUUGGCCUCCCAAAGUGCUGGGAUUACAGGCGUGAGCCACAGCACCUGGCCAUCUUACCCAUUUUUAUAUCCUGCUGCCCACCCCCUCCAGCAACUAGGCCUGCACCUAGAAAGAUAUUAUCAAAUGUCCCUGCCACAUCCCUGCCAGUAUCCCUGUCUGUCCCCAGCCAGCCCACACAACGGAUGCACAGAAAGGACCUGUCUUCUUUGACAAAGGAGGCUGAUGAUCUAAUACUCUCUUCUGACUUCCUAGCUUGAAUGCUGUUCCAUCUCUUCCUCCCACAGACCAGGACUCAAAGGGCAGCGCAUUUUCUCUGGAAAGACCCAUGUCAUAAUGCACCUUUGUAUGAAGCAGCAACCUUUGCACUGUCUCCAGUUAGUACUUUCAGAGGAAUUAGCUUAUCAGAGUAACUAGUUGGCACCUUAACAGGCAUGCAGAAUCUGACUCAGGAACAGAGACUCAAGAGAACUAAGGUGCAGUAGGAAGCAGGUGGCAGAGUGAAGAUAAGCAGGAACAUUUCCUACCUAUAGUUGAGCAGUUUCAUGCUACAUCAUGGUGGAUCCCUCCCAAGUCACCACUGCCUAACAUUCCACAGAAUAUAGUUGAAAGAAUUGAAGAUGCAGAGUACUGAGCCCUCCACCUGCAAAUGCAUACAGCCAUGAACAGAUGGGUGUAAACUGAGGCAGUGGAGGGAGAGGGGUACUCCCAAGCCCUGAAAAUCUCAGAGUAAGAGGCCACCGACGACAGCGCUCACCGGUGCUGAGCUCCCUUCUACAGAAACCUGCAAAGACUCAGAUCGAGGAGGAAAUACACCAGGAAAAUGUCACAGGAUCAUCUCGAGCAGUCCCUUCCAGCGCCAAGCCAUUCAUUCAAGAAUGACUCAGGGCCGGGCGUGGUGGCUCACACCUGUAAUCCCAGCACUUUGGGAGGCCGAGGCAGGCGGAUCACGAGGUCAAGA